GUGGAUUAGAUACCCUGGUAGUCCUAGCCGUAAACGAUGUGAACUUGGCGUCGGUGGGUUAAACUCCAUCGGUGCCGCAGCUAACGCGAUAAGUUCACCACCUGGGGACUACGGCCGCAAGGUUAAAACUCAAAGGAAUUGACGGGGGCCCGCACAAGCAGCGGAGCGUGUGGUUUAAUUCGAUGCUACACGAAGAACCUUACCCGGGCUUGACAUGCAAGUGGUAGUGAUCCGAAAGGUGAACGACCCGCAAGGGAGCUUGCACAGGUGUUGCACGGCUGUCGUCAACU
Molecule: ribosomal RNA, 290 nt
Filed under: uncultured bacterium
Lineage: Bacteria
Description: partial 16S ribosomal RNA
Rfam family: Bacterial small subunit ribosomal RNA
Source: RNAcentral